AAUUCUCAAACCACACUUGUUGUGGCUUGGAUAGUUGGGUGUUGCCUGCUUAAAGUAGGCUCUCCUUAAAUAUAUAAGUGGCAUUUUUAGAAACUUGUUAGGUGUUGUAAAUUAUUAAUACAUCUGAGUUUCUGAAUAUACUGCUUCUAACAAACCCUUUUUCUUUGAUGA
This 171-nucleotide unclassified non-coding RNA is filed under the name uncultured Inocybaceae. RNAcentral's name for it is "sequence contains ITS2". Lineage: Eukaryota; Fungi; Basidiomycota; Agaricomycetes; Agaricales. The record is from RNAcentral.